Molecule: ribosomal RNA, 253 nt
Filed under: uncultured bacterium
Lineage: Bacteria
Description: partial 16S ribosomal RNA
Rfam family: Bacterial small subunit ribosomal RNA
Source: RNAcentral
UACGAAGGGGGCUAGCGUUGUUCGGAAUUACUGGGCGUAAAGCGCGCGCAGGCGGCUAUCCAAGUCAGGGGUGAAAUCCCGGGGCUCAACCUCGGAACUGCCUUUGAUACUGCGAGUCUUGAGUCCGAUAGAGGUGGGUGGAAUUCCUAGUGUAGAGGUGAAAUUCGUAGAUAUUAGGAAGAACACCAGUGGCGAAGGCGGCUCACUGGCUCGUUUCUGACGCUCAGGCGCGACAGCGUGGGGAUCAAACAGG